GUUGUCUAGUCAAUUGUUAGUGGAAAGAAGGGUGUUAACAUUUUAAACUUUCUAUUAUGGAAAGAAUCUGAGAUAAAAAAAAAUAAAAAAAAUCCUUAAUAUGGUAAAAAAAAAAAAUCCACACAAUAAUACAUUAGGCUACACAUGUAUUCAUUUUAGGAUUUUCACUCUUACAUUUCUAUCACUUCUUGUGGCAUGAUCAUUAAAAAUUGACUUUUGGCAUACAACUUGCUCCUUUUUCCUUCUAAGGAAACUUCCUACAACUUUCAAUCAUAAUUGCUAAUCAAUAAUUUAAUCAUAGAUUUCUU
Molecule: long non-coding RNA, 308 nt
Filed under: Vigna radiata
Lineage: Eukaryota; Viridiplantae; Streptophyta; Magnoliopsida; Fabales; Fabaceae
Description: long non-coding RNA (VRAD_LNC011509)
Source: RNAcentral